ACCGGUGUUUGGGUUAUUUCUCAUGAAUGUGGUCACCAUGCCUUCAGUGACUACCGGUGGGUUGAUGACACAGUUGGCUUAAUCCUCCAUUCUGCACUUUUAGUCCCUUACUUUUCCUGGAAAUACAGCCACCGCCGCCAUCACUCAAACACAGGGUCCCUUGAGCGAGACGAAGUGUUCGUUCCAAAGCCUAAGUCUCGAAUCGCAUGGUAUUCCAAGUACCUAAACAACCCACCAGGUCGAGCUUUAAGUCUUGUUGUCACACUUCUGCUAGGCUGGCCCUUAUACCUAGCCUUCAACGUUUCAGGUCGACCCUAUGAUCGCUUUGCCUGUCACUAUGAUCCCUAUGGCCCCAUAUAUUCUGAUCGUGAAAGGCUUCAGAUUUACAUUUCUGAUCUUGGCAUUUUUGCCGCAACUUUUGUGCUCUACAGCAUCGCUGUGUCUCGAGGGCUGGCAUUUCUGAUAUGCAUUUAUGGGGUACCGUUACUUAUUGCUAAUGGUUUACUUGUCACCAUCACAUACUUGCAGCACACUCACCCUGCAUUGCCACAUUAUGAUUCCUCUGAAUGGGAGUGGCUUAGAGGAGCUUUGGCAACCAUGGAUAGAGACUAUGGGAUCCUGAACAAGGUCUUCCAUAACAUUACAGACACGCAUGUAGCUCACCAUCUCUUCUCUAACAUGCCACAUUAUCAUGCAAUGGAGGCUACGAAAGCAAUCAAGCCAAUACUGGGUGAGUUCUACCAGUUUGAUGACACUCCGAUUUACAAGGCCUUAUGGAGGGAGACAAAAGAAUGCCUGUAUGUUGAUCCAGACGACGGAGCUCCUGAAAAAGGCGUGUUCUGGUACCGGAACAAGUUUUGAUCCUGCUGCCUGCAAAAUCAUGCUAGCUAGAUGCAAGGGUAGGGUUCAAUAUGUGUAGCGUGUUGCUAAUAAAUGGGGGAGAAGGUGUUGUUGAGCUAAAAAUGUAAUGGACUUGUAAUGAAACUCAUCAACUUAUGAAUUCUUAUGAAAAAAAAAUAAAAAAAAAUCAACUUAUGAAUACUUCUCUUCUUAGCUACUAUCAGCUUUUGUUUUUAGACUAGACAAGCGACGAUGACCAAAUUUUUGUGUGGUGUUUCCUCUGUCAAGUUUGUCUAUAAAACCUUGCAAGAAAUUAAAUAAACACAGACGAGCACAGAAAAAUAAGAGAGAGAUAAGAAACAAUAUUCAUGUAAAGGAUAAGAUAAACCCCUCGACGAAGGGAUAAAUCUCCCUCAAAAUUAUUCAUUAAUUUCCUUCAUCAUACUCUUCAACAUCAGUACAAAUCCUCGAGGAACCAGCACCUGUUAUAAUGACUCAUCUGAGCCAUCUUUUGAACCUGGAGAUAAGCCUCAAAAUCCUGAGGCAAAACUUGACUAAAAAAAGCGGCAUUCCGCAUUAAUUAAUGCUCCAAUUUUCCUGUUUCCAUUUAUGCUUAUGGUUAUGACACAUUUUUAACCCCUUUUAUUUUGAUGAAUUCCUAAAAUUCUCAAAACUCAAUAAUAUUUUGGCAUUCAUAUGAUUUUUCUGAAACUAUAAGGUGGCAGAGUCAAAGGAAACUGGAGGACCUGCACAAUCGCCCCUGAAAAAAAAUAUUUUUCUUGAGAGUACAUGAAGUAUGUUGUAAUGACUGCAUCUCUAUCUUCAUAAAAUUUGUCUCCGAUCGAAAUAUGUGUUGAAAAAAGUAUCUUGAUAUUUACAAUCUUGCAAAUAAGUUUUAUCCCAAGAAUUUUAUAUCAAGAGUAAUUUCUUUUGAGAUCUUGAUAAAAUUAUUUUGGAUUUGUUAUUGUUUUUUAGAAUAUUAUGAAUUGAGAAAAGUAUCAAUGCUCAGAAUAAUUAGCAAACUAUCUGUACUCUUGUUGAAAAAAUAAAUUGCUUAUAAAAAUUUAAUUCUGAUUCCUUAAGCUAAAUUUCUGAAUCGGUCACCAUACCCUCCCUUUCGGAACCAUAUUGUCGUAGUUGUGUGGUGAGAGGGCAAGCCUUGCAUUUGUUGUUAGCCUUGACAAUUUGCCAAAUGUGUCAUCAAGCAUGCAUUAGUGUCCAUAACAUUUCACUGAAAAACAAAUCAAACUAACCAGACCAGUAAAAUCUAACCCUUAAUUUCUUUAUUAAUAAAAAAUAUUUUUUGAAAAAGCCAAUAGGUUGAAGGCAUGGUUUUGAUCACCAUGUUAGCUUCGAGUCAAGGUGUUAACUUGAGUAUUUUAUUAGAUUAAUCAAUAUUUUUUAUUUUAUUUUUUAAACUUGAUUUGAGUCUCCUAUAUCCUGUUUAAAUUUUACAAUAUGAUUAUACGCUCUGUAUUUCAUUAAUUACCUUUUAACUUCACCUACAUUUCUUAAUUAACCGACGUUGCAAUUUAUGGAGGUAGAAGAUUAUUAUUUAGGUGGUUGAAAUAUUAAUGAUCAUGUCUAUAUUUCUUUUUCUGAUGUUUAGGUUAGGUUAACCAGAUCGAUCGAAACUUUGGCAUGUACUAUUGGUUUUGAUGUCCGACUAAUUUUAGGUAUGCUGUGGACAUCGCAUUUAUAUCAUUAUUUAAUAGCUAAUAAUUUUAAGAAUGCCUGUAUGUUGAGCCAGACGACGGAGCUCCCCAAAAAGGCGUGUUCUGGUACCGGAACAAGUUUUGAUCCUGCUGCCUGCAAAAUCUAGCUAGCUAGAUCACCCCCGAGCAAGGGAUCAGUCAAACUAGUAUAAUUGUGUUGCUAAUAAAUGGGGCUGAAGGAGUUGUUGAGCCAAUAAUGGGAUAGGCGUGUGAUGAAAUUCAGCUUCUGAGUGCUUCUCUUAGUGUUUGUUUGUCAAUGCGGGCGUGGUUCAUCCGCAUUUCUAAAUUAAAAACUUGAAAAGAUGAUAUUUGGAGUUUGGAAAAUAUGUUCUUACUUUUCAAUUAGCUUUUGUUUUUAGACCAACGAAGCAAGAUUUCUAAUCAUCUAUGAUUAUAAUGAAACCUACGAACAUAAUUUAGUCAGGAAAAUACAGAAGAAAUACUGAAAACCACAAACAAUAGUAGCAAACAAAUUUAAGAAAGAAAUGUUGAUCCGCUCAUAUCUUUCAACUAAUAAAAUAAAAUCAUGAUUUGAUUUUCAAGCAUUCUACUAGUUAGAAUACAAUUAGAUUUUCGUCAAGCCUAUUGCUUCUUUAUUUAAUAGCUAAUUACCAACCAAUUAUAUUAUUUACAAUCCAUCAAUCAAAAAAAGAUAUGGCAUUGGUGGCCUUAUAUUGAGAUUGAGUUUAUCUCUCAUUUUUUUAAUAAGCUAUCCAUCAACAUUAAAUUAAAAUUCAUAAGAAAAUGAAUGUUUUUUCUAUAUACAAAAAUAGAUAUUUUCUAUUCUUUAUUAUAAUGCUUUUUUAGUUUUUAUUUUCCUAUUCAUAAGAAAAUGAAUGCUUUUCAUAUAAAAUAUAGAUAUUUUCUAUUCUUAUUAUAAUGCUUUUUUAGUUUUUUCCUAUUUAAAACAAAUAUUUUUUCUAGUUUAGUUUUUCUAUUUAGUAUUAGAAUUUUUUAAUUUUUUUUAUAUAAAGUGUUGUAAUAUAACUUCUUGGCAAGUGAAGACAAAGAAGAAUAAAAAUUAAAUAUUUUGAUUGUCUCUUUAGUUAUGGUGUUUUUGAUGUUUAAACUUUUGACAUGUAAUAAACCUUUAAUCCUUCGCUCUUGUAUGCAUUAAUUGAUAUUAAAGCCCAACUAUUAAUGGUUAUUUUGCUUUGCUAUGUUACAAACAACCAUGAUUAUAGAACAUGAUAUGCUUGUGUAGAAGGUGAUGGUGGGGUUCUUUCAGAAAGAAAAAAAAAAAUUCAAGAACUAGUGUGUGUUUUCAUCUAUGUCAUUUAAUAUUGUUUAAAAUUCUAGUGGUGGGACCCAUAAUGGAGCGGCUCACUCAGAGAUGCUGUGUUAGGAACCCAUGAUGAGAUGACCUCCAUAAAAAUAUGUUCUUGAUGAAUGGUAAUUUUUUAAAUGUAUACUAAACUCGAUGACAAUAUCCUUGAUCCAGAUCUGUGAGACUAAUGUAAGAACUUUUUUAUGAAAAUAUAUAUUUUUAUUAUUUUUUUAUUAUGAUGCUUUUAUAGUUUAUUUUUUAAUAUUUGAAUGGAACAUUUUCUCAAGUUUUUUUUUUCCUAUUUAGUAUUAUUAGGAUUUUCUAAUUUUUUUCCUUUAUAUAACGGGUUGUAAUAGCUUUUUGGCAAGUGGUGACAUAUAAGAAAAAAAUUUGAAUAUUUUUGUUGUCUCCCUAUAUUUACGUUGAUUUUGUCUUUUAGGGUUUUGACAUAUGACAUACCCCUUUAUCUUUUGUUCUUGUCUGCAUCAAUUGAUAUCGGAUCCCAACAACUUUUAGUGAUUGUUUUGCUUAAUUUGUUUUGUGCUACAAAACAAUAAUGGUUGUAAAAGAUUAGGACAUAAUGUGCUUAUAUAAGAGGGGAUUUGUAACUUUCUCUUAAAAAAAAAUAAUCAAGAAUUGGCAUGUUGUUUUUAUUUGCGUUUGUUACUGUUAUUUUAAAUUUUGUUGGUGGGACUCAUGAUGUGGCAUAUUGUAUAAAGAUAUUAUGUUAGAAACCUAUGAUGAGGUGACCUAAAUGUUCUUGAUGAAGGACAAUUCUUAACUGAGGAUUAAUGUAUGACUUUUUUAAAAAAUUAAUUUUUAUUUAUUUUUUAAUGAUUUUUUUCUAGUUUUUUUAUUUUAUGGGAUUUUUUUAUUUAAUAUUAUUAGAGUAUUCUUUAGCUUUUUCUAUAUAAAAAGUUAUAAUAACCUUUUGAUAAGUAGAGACUGAAAAAAUAAAAAUUAAAUAUUUUGAUUAUCUUCCCUUAUAAUGCCUUUGAUCUUCGAAGAUUUUAACAUAAAAUAAACCUUUUUAACCUUAGCUUUUGCUCUCAUUUGCAUCAAUUUUAUUGACUAUAUUAAGGUUGUCAAUUCCGUUUCGAUAGGUGUUUUGUUUUUUCAAUUGAAAUGAAAUGUUUCAGUUUCGGAGUGUUUUGGCAUGCCGUUUCGGAGUUGUACUAUAUAUAUAUAUAUAUUCAACAAACAUAAUUCAAAUUCAAGAUAAAUUAAUUAUAAAUUAUGCAAUACAAACAUAAUGUCAAACAAAUAUAAUUUUAAAAUUUAAAAUAUUUCUAAAUAGUCAAGAUUAAAUAGAUCUUUAACUUAAAGAAAUUCAACUUAAACAAAAUAUCAAAAUAUUAUGAAAUUAAAAUUUUUUAACACAAAUUUUUUAAAUAUAAAGCUAGGUCAAUGUUAUCAAGGCUAAUGGGAUCUAAAGCAUCCCUUGUUUUGCUCAAAUUCCUAUAAAGUAUAAACAUGAAAAAAACACAUGAAUAUAAAUCAUAUAUAUUAGUGAUAAAUCUAAUUUUAAAAAAUUAAUAUCAUUGUUAAUGAAAAUAGUAAUCAUAAUUUUUAAUAAUAUUAUUAAUAUCAUUGUUAUUGAAAAUAAUAAUGAAAAAGAGCUUUUUAUACUUGAGUGGUUUAAUUAAUUAAAUUGAACAAAGUUCAAUUUAAUUCAAUGACUUUUCAAGACCGGAACGGAACAUCUGAAAUGAAACCGGAACAUUCCAGACAGAAUUUAGCCAAAAAAUCCGGAACGGACCGAGAUUUGAAGUGAGAUGAAAAUUGUUUCGUUUUUUAAAUUGAUAUGAAAUGUUUUGGUCAUUCUGGACAAAACAGAAUGGAACUGAUAACCUUGAAUUAUAUAAAUACCAAUUAUGUAGACGAGGAGACAAGAAGUACAACAUGCUUAUGAAAAGAAAAAAAAAAUAGAAGCAAAAGCCGAAAAUAUCCGGACAGAAUUUAGCCAAAAAAUUCGGAACGGACCGAGAUUUGAAGUGAGAUGAAAAUUGUUCCGUUUUGUUCAUUUUUUAAAAUGGUAUGAAAUGUUUCGGUCAUUCUAGACAAAACAGAAUGGAACUGAUAACCUUGAACUAUAUAAAUACCAAUUAUGUAGACGAGAAGACAAGAAGUACACCAUGCUUAUGAAAAGAAAAAAAGAAGAAGCAAAAGCCGAAAAUAUCCGAAUAGAAUUUAGUCAAAAAAUUUGGAAUGGACCGAGAUUUGUAGUGAGUGUUGUAACCCAUUUUUGGGUCCCCACAUAUAAAAUAAUAAAAUACAAAAAAAUUCAAAAAAAAUAUAUUACAAAAAAAAUAUAACAGUGAAAAAUGCCGGAGCGCCCUAAAAAUGCUAAAAAAUUUGUUUGAGGAUGUUCAAAAAUAUAAAAAUUAUUUUUUGACAGUAUAUCAUUAACUGAUGAGAGCCCCGAUGAUAAAGAAAAUUCAAUUUGUGGAAGAAAAAUGCAAAAUCAGAAGUUUAUGGACUCAAUUAAAUUUUAUUGAAGGUUUAAUUGAAUUUAUGGAGAUUUUAAUUGCAAAAAAAAUUGAUUUUGGAGUUAAUUUGGGCUUUAAUUAGGAGAAAUUAAUUUUCUGGGGUCAAAUUAUAAUUUUUGGAAGUUAAUUUGGUCAAAUCAGGGGCUUAAUUGCAUAAAUAUUGAGUUUAAUGGCCAAUUAGGGACUAAUUGAAGAAAUCCGAGACCAAGGACUAAAUUGUAAAACGCGCGCAAAUGGAGGGCCGAAAUUUGAAUCUGAUUCUUUUGGCGCCUUUUUCCUUUUAAAUGAAACGGCGCGUUUUGACCAAAACGGCGCCGUUUCAUUCACUGUUGAAAAAAAAAAAAAAAAAAAAAAAAAACAGAAGCCCAAAACGGUGCCGUUUUGACGGCACUGUAGCUCUUCUUCUUCCCCUGGACACACGAGGCAGGGGAAGAAGAAGAUUUUUUUCUUCCCCUUUUCGCCUAAUUACUUUCCCUCUUUUGCUCAAAAAGACGCCGAAACAAGGACACCACUUGCCGACCACUUUCCACGCGUUGGACGGGCGUUGGACGGGCGGCAGCACACCGGCCACCACCAUGACGUCCCCCCCCCUGUUUUUCGCCUAUAAAAACAGGGGAGGAAGAGGAGAAAAAAGAGGACAACAGAGGGGAGAAGGAAGAGAGAAGGAAGAGAGAAAAGAAGAGAGAAGAGAAGAAAAGAAAAGAAAGAAAAAAAACAGAAACAGAAGAAAAGAAAAAAAACAGAGGAAGAAGGAGAAGAAAACCCGCCGGCCACUGCGCCUCCGCCACCGUCGCCGCCAGCAGCACCGCCACGACGCCACCACAGGUAAACAACCUCUGCCCCGUCUCCUUCGCCCUUUGCAACUGCCUUCUUUAUUUUCAUGCAGAACGUGAAUUAAUUCACGUUCUGCAACUGAUGAGAGGCUGGUUACUGUGCUUAUGCACAGUAACCAGCCCAUUUAGUUUUGGGCCGGUUCGGCCCAGCCCACUGAAAUGGGUCGGGUCCGGCCCAUUUCAAUUUUUUUAUUUUUAUUUUUAUUUUUUACAAUUUUUCCAACACAUGUUUUUAUCAAUUUUGCUUAAUAUCGGUCUGUAUUUUACAUCGUAAAAAAAUAAAUUCGGUAUUAAAAUACCCGGUUUUCGUCCCGCGGUACUGUUCAAAUAAAAUAAGUAAUAAUCAAAAGAAUGAGGAUCAAAUUUGAUAAAUAAAAAAUUUCAAUAAAAAAAUGAUAAGAAAAAAGCAAAUAGCAAUUAUAAAAAUAAGGACCAAAGUUAAUAUAAAAAUAAAAUUUUAAGAGAUGCAAUUGAAAAAUAAAUAUUCAAAACAAAAUAUAUAUAACAAUCAAAAGUUUGAGGAUCAAAUUUGAUAUAAUCAACAAAUAAUGACAUUUCUAAAUUUUUCACAAUUUCCGGAAAGUGUUUUCCCCUCAAAUUUUUCAGGAAAACACUUUUCUGAAAUCCAAGCCAAAUUUUCCUUUUACUGGAAAGUGUUUUCCAUUGACCAACUUUCCUACUGGCAAACAAACACAAGAAAGUUUGGAAAAUGCUUUCCCGGAAACCACUUUUCAGAAAACAAACACAGCUAAAAGGAAAACACUUUCCUGAAAACCAAGUCAAUUUUUUUUUUUACUAAAAUUGACUGGAAAGUGUUUUCCGUUGACCAACUUUUCUAAUGACAAACAAACAUAGGAAAGUUUGGAAAAUGAUUUCCCGGAAACUACUUUCCAGAAAACAAACAAGGCCAAGUAAUUCAACUAUAAAUGCUUUAUAGUAUGAGUGCUUCUAUUUCAACGAAGGAUCCAUUUUUGAUAGCAUUCCACGACUUUGUUUGCCUUCUCACUGGAUAGUUGUUUGAGGUCCAAUGACCUAGAGAAUAGUCAAAACCUUUAAGCGAGAAGAGGAUCAAAAUGUCGUCAUUUUGAUAAAUAUUUUUGUCAAUUUUUUUUUUUAAACUACCACAUGGGGUAAAAUGACUUUAACAAAAAUUGGAUAAGAUAAACUUGUUUAGCAGCUGGAGGAUAAAAACUAGAUAAGAGAAACAUUAUCUGGUAGAUGAAUUACAAAAGUAAGAUAAGAUAGAUGUUAACGAAUGAUAAAAUAUAAGAUAAUAUAAACAAGUUUUUAACAACCAUAAAGAGAUAUUGUAGAUAUAUCCUUAUUUGGCGAUGAAAUAAAGUAUGUUAUUAUAAGAUAAUAUUUAAUUAAUAUCUUAGGAUAAUAGAAACAUAAACAAUGAAUAUAAAAACAAGUUUAGUUAAAGAAACAAAGACAUAGAUAGAAAUAUAAAAUAAAUUUGUUUUUAAGAUAAUUCUUGAGUAAAUUUCUAUGUUUUCAAAACAUGAAGAGUAGGAAGACACAUUUUACUUGACCCCACUAUCCUUAUCUUUUUUGGUUUUGAAGCUAGAUAUGUUGCCCGUGCUAUGCUGUCGGCCGGGUUGAAUUUUUGCUAACAUAAAAAAAUCAAGGGGAUUUCAAACGAUGAAACAAAAAACAAUUAAUUUAAAAAAAUAGUGUUGAAGAAAAAACCCUUAAUUAUGAAAUUUGACAAGUUAUCUUUAUAACCAAAUAAAAAGAAAAGCGAAACAAUAAUAAAAUUCAAGGUUUAAUAACCAUCGAGAAAAAAAAACUCAAGUCAACCGUGUUAGUUUGUCAAAUUCGCAGUUCAAAUAAUUAAAUAAAGAUAACUUUAUAAAAAAAUUAUGAAAUUGAAUCCCUAAUAAAUCUAAUGUUGGACGAUAUAAUUACGAAAAAACAACCGAAUACUAUUCCAAUUAAUAGUAUUGUCCAAGUAGGAGAACACUAAAAUCCCAUAUUCCUUUAGUUUAGUUAAGUUUUUUUGUUUUUUUGAAAUUUUGAUUUUAAUCUCCCUCCCAGUAUCAUUACUCUCAUUCUGUAGCGAGUCAAGGCAUGUUUGUCCAUGUUGUCUAGGCUACCAGUCUCUCUAUCAUUUCUAGCUUUAGUAGCAGGGAGUGAUUGAUCCGCAUGCAACAACUUGAGAGCUCACCGUGCGAUUCUUACAACUCCCGUUUUUUAUUUUAAAGAUAUUUUUAAAAGAUUUUUUUUUUUACUUUAAAUUAAUAUAUUUUUAAUAUUUGUAAGAUCUAUGUUAUAUUAAAAAUAAUUUUUAAAAAAUAAAAAAAUAUUAUUUUAAUAUAUUUCUAAAUAAAAAACAUUUUAAAAAAUAACCACAAUCAUAUUUCUAAACAAAUUAUAGAUAGGACACAAGAAGCUAGAGAGACUAGGAGCUGAGACUGCUAGAUCUGUUGGACAUUUUAUGCCAUGGUUGGUUGGUUCGGAGGGAGGAAGGAUCGAGUGGGAGAUGUGAAAAUGUCCUAUAUAUAUACUUUUCUAAAGGUUAGUUUAUGUGAUGGUAGAAUGACACAAUCCUUUCAACCUAAUUUCACAGUCCUAAGAAAAAGCCAAGGUAUGUAUCGAUAACCAUAGAAAACCCUAGAUGAUGAUCAACAUAUAUAUAUACACACCCUUCAUCUGCCAUACGGAAAUGCUUUGAGUUUUUCUUCUUCCUUAGUUACGUUUCCUUGGCCCAAGAUUAAUUUCUUAGAGUACUAAGAUUGACAUUUUCUUGCCAUUGUUAGCUGGGAGGGAGGAGGGGAGAUAUUGGGAAAGGAAAUAUGAGCUAAUACUUCUGAAACGAGUUGCUCUUUUCUUACACGAUAAAAAAUAUGAAUUUUUUUUUAUAUGUUUUUUUAAUUUAAACUAUACACAAACAUAAUUUUAUUAUAGUACCUUUAUAUGUUUUUGUUAAGAAGAAACUAUUGAAUUUAUCUAGUAAAAUUUUAUUUUAGAUACAAACAACCUAAAUGCCAAUUAGUGCAUAGUAUAUGAAUUCUAGUUAAAAAAAGGGGCAAAUUUAUCUCUCACAUACCUCAAUAGAAAAUCACAAAUCUGUUCUUUGUCUCGUUCAAGUGUGAAAACAAGAUUCUUAAGAGCAACCAAUCCAUGUCAAUAAAUACGGGAAAAAAAAAAAACCUUUUUGGCAUACGGUGGUUGCUCCUUGGUACAUUGGUUUUGGGUAGACAUGCAUCAAUGGACAUGGACCCCUAACCUACCAACCAUGUGAUAAAGUACAUGUGAUCAAUUAAGCAACAUAUAUGACUAGAAAAAGGUUAAAAGUUAACGUACAAGGGUGGUUCAUUCAUCUGAGAAUUGACGAGAACCUAUAUAUAUAUAUAUAUAUAUAUAUAUAUGACUAAAUCUAUAUUUAUAUGUAUGUUACCGAUGUAGUAAUAAAUCUGUCAGGAAAUUAUAUUUAACAAUGACAAGUCCUUUAAUUUCUUUCCAACUUUCUGAAACUCUUCGACGACCUAGCUAGCAUGUCAGUAAUUUUAUUGGUAUUCCACAUUCUGUCAGUAAUCCAUCAAUAUUAUAUGUAAUAUAUAUUUUUUAAAAAUAUUAAAAUAAAUAAUGCAAUCAAAACAUAAUUAAAAUAAAAUAAAAAUAAAUUUAUAUUAUUAAUUUAAAAAAUAUUAUUAAAUAUAAUUUAUUUAUCUAGUGGACAUAAACUCGAGGAGGAGGCAAAAACAGAUCUUCGUUGGAACCAAGAGGGCAACAAGGUGGAGCAUAAGUAUCAGUGAGUGUUGCCAACAGCUGCUUGAAGACACUCACUUUAUCCCCCCAGUUAAGUCGACUCAACCCUAAGUUGGGUAGUCUUAGCUUGAAUUUGUUCUCGUACGAUCAAAAGAACAAGUGGUGAUUGCUGGCUCGAUUUGAGUUGCGUGGUCUCAACAAUCAAGUUAGUAUGGCUCGCUCGUAUACCUUUAGUUGUAGUGUUGGAGAUACUAUAAAUUCGAUUUCUAUUGAGUCCUUUGACAAAUCUAGCCUCCAACCAUAAUUUUUAUUAUUUAAUAAAUAAGGUAGUGUUAGAUUACUAUUUCAAAAUAGAAGUGGAAAAUGUAGUUAUGAUAAAGAGGACAUGCUUCCUUUUCUUUUUAUUUUGAAAGAAAAAUUUUUAUUUGAAAACCAUUAUUUAUUAUUUUCAUUUACUUUUAUUCUGAAACACCAAUUUCACUCAAUCUAGAGUUAACUAACUAUUUGACUUGCCUUUCACCUGCACAUCAAAUAAUGUUUGUUUAGGAAAAAAAAAAUGAAUAUGCAGUUUUCCAACAUGUUUUUGGACAUAAAUAAAUUCUCAAUCAUAAACUAAAAAGCUUAUGUAUAUAUCUAAUUAAAUAAAUAGAUAAUUAUUUGUUCCAGUAAACAUAAAAAAACUCUUAAUAAUAACUAAAGACUAAACUAAAAAAAUCAAGAGGUAGAUACAAAUUAAUAUAUUUGAUCUUGCAACACAGAUUGUGUACUCAAUUUUGUUUGAUAAUUUUUUUCCCUUAGAAUACAUUCUUUAUUUAAUCAAAUGAUUAUUCGUGAUAAUAAAACAUUAAAAAAGUAGUUAAGAUAACUAAAGAUUAAACUGAAAAAUAAAGAGAUAAAAAUAAAUCAAGAUAUUUGAUUUCACAACACAUGUUAUGUAUAUAGUUGUGUUUAAUAAUUUUUUCCUAGAAUAAACUUUUAAUGUAAUCAAAUAAUAAUAGAAACAAACACACACGUAAACAAGAUUGAAUAUAAUAAAAAAAAUAUUAUGUAAAGUUACAUAUAUUAAAAAACAAAAUGUUAUAAGUACUUUAUAUGAAAUCCAAGUGAAAAAUAAACAUAUUUAACCAAAGACUAAAUUUAAAAGUUGAGAUAAAGAUGUACAUGAGCCAUAGACUUGAUUGUAUUUAAUAACGUUAUUGUUUCUUCAAACCAAUGUUUUUAUUUAAUAAAAUGAUAAUAAAAAAACACAUAGGAAAGGGAUUGAAUAAAAAUAAAAAAUAAGUAAGGCUACAAAGAAAGAAUGUUUCCUUAAAAAAAAAAAGCAAUGAAAUCUUAUCUAUAAACUAAGAAAAAAUUAAAUCAUAUUCUAUAAGAAAAAUCAUAAAAAGUUAUUAAACAUUUAUUAAAAUAGAAAAAAAAGCCAAUAAGGAUGAUACUACAAAAAAAAAAAGACAAAACAAAUAGCAAAAAUGACCCAGAUGCGCGAGCCUGACCAAGGUGGCCUAACAUGUCUAGGCUUAAAAAAACUCAGGCCUACGUGUUUGAGCUAACUUUUUUUUUUUUAUAUAUAUUAAGGGUUAGAAGACUUGACGUCAACCCUUAAUGUUUUUGAAAACAAAUUACAACUUGAUGACGUGCCACUGCUUCUCCACAGAUUUCACCAUAAUGAUGGCUAUAAAAUCAUGGUUGAUGUUUUUUGACUUGAAAAUCUAUUUUCAACUUAUUUUUGAUCUAAAAUAUCUAUAAAACACAAUACACAUUUUGAUAAACCCUGUAUCCAACCUCAAAUAAUGCAAAAACCCAUUAAAAAACCCGAAAUCAAUUUCUAAUUAAAAACUUCUCGAGCUCAAAUCUAUCAUUGCUAGAAAAAAGAGAGGUAAAAAACACCUAGGUGAAAAUCUCUUAAUUGAAAGGAACCUGUCGACACCAAGAUCUAUAUUUUUCAUGACUGGACAUGGUGUCAAUUGAGACUCUCUCUCUUCAUUAUUGAAAUUUGACAACAAUCUCUCUCUUUUCUUGAAUCAGGAACAAAAAAUAAAAAAAAUAAAAUUUUAAAUUAAAAUUGUAUUUUUUAAAAUGUAAGGAACCAAAUAUUUAUAGAAAGCACGAGGAUAAACAUGAACUUUUUGCAUUAUUUUUUAAAUUGCAACCAAUUUUCUCUGUUUUUUUUCUAUAACUUUAAUCUUAUUCUUGCUAAACAAAUCUGAAGCUUUAAUUUGACCCUAAAAAAAUACAAUUGGCCAAAGAAAAGUUCGAAGGAAAAAAAAAAGCCACCGUGAAAAGAUCAUCAUGCAUAAUGUUUUUUCGCUGCAUUGUUUUUGCCGCAACAGAGUUUCUUGUAAUAGUCGAGAAUUCACUCAACCUUAAGCUAUAUUCCAGUCUUGCUAUCAAGAACCAUAACGUCCUAUCAAUUACCCUGACGAGGAUAUAAACAAAGGAGUCACCCAUCCACGAGCAAGACCCUUCACUAAACGAAGAAAAUCUUGAUCAAGUAAAGAGCCACAUCUUCACAUUGAUGUACCCUUUAUUAAACGAAGAAAAUGUUGAAGACUUGAACAAGUAAAAAGUCACAUCUUCAUAUUGAUGUGUCAAUAACUUCGUUUAUAAAUGAACGAAGUGUCAUCACAUGCUGCAGCUCAUGGUACCCCACAGUCUCUUUUGAGAGUGCUUUUUUUUUAAAUGGUGGCUUUUUUCAAGGAUUCUACCCAGGCAAGGCAGCCCAAGCAAGCAGAGAGACAUACAGCUUCAGAAGAGAGAGAGAGAGAGAGAGAGCACUACUUUUGCAAGAAGUUGCCUUCUAUAUUCAGGUACAUUUGUUUCUUCAAACAAUAUGCAUGAUCCAUGAAUGGUUUUCUGUGGCUAAAGGCUUUAUGGGAGUUGAGAUGCAUAGUUUCUCAUCUCCACGCUCAAAAUGUCAAAAAAGAAAAGGAAAAGAAAAUAAAAUUAAAAAAAGUAAAAACGGCGGAGAGAAUAAUUUCUGAGUAGAUUCGUUUUACAACUUUCUUAUUGCCAUGCAACAUACCAUGAAGCUAGGUUUUGGUUCUGCAGUCUGUUUUUGCCCAUUAUUCAGAUUUUUUACCACAUAAUGUGGAGUUGUUUGUUUUCCCAUUCCAAUCUUUUUAAAGUGUGGUGUGCAUUAGGGGCAGCAGCACGAUGUCUCAUAUUAUGAAACCUCAUAGUUGGAAAUUUCUUUUUUUGGUUACAGAAGUUGGAAUUUUUAACAGAUACUAUGGAGUUCUGUGUCUUAAUCUCCAAAUCUUUAGCCUUCUCUUUCCAACAACUUUUAUUUUUUGUAGUAAUUGGAUAAAACAGAAAUUAAGUGGGGGUGUUUUUAGCCUCCAUGUUUCUAUCUGUUUCUUCAAAAUAAAUCUAGAAAAGGAAUAAGCUAAACUAAUUAACACGCACCGCUAAUCAUUUCUAUGACCAUAUAAAUGCAUGCUCAAGUAAUUUGGGUGGGUUAAUUACUUUAAGAUUUUCAUUUAACUUUGGAACUAACAAACUUUGCUUGAAUUUAUGAAUCUUUUUUUUUUAAAAAAAAGUGUCAAUAAAGAAAAUCUUGCUUUGACAGGUUCUGUUCUUCAUUUUGGCUGUAUUUGACAAAGUAAAUUAAUUUUGAACAAGACCAACAAAGUGGAAGUGAUGAACAAGAUAUAAUGUAUAGGUGUCUGCCUGUGGCAUGCAUGGUUACAGAAACUGCAAGUCAUGGUGGUGUGUUGAGAGGAUCUCCCUUACAUUUGUUGCUUGUUCUGACAAUCUCCCCAAACAUGUGUCAUAAUGCGUGCACUAGUGUCCAUGACAUUUUAGUCAGAAACAACACCGACUGCUGUGUUUUUCAUUGAUUGUCUUCACCUACAUUUGCCUGCUGUGUUUUACUAAAUAUACAGGUAAAAUAAUAUUAUUGAGGUUGUUGAAACAUUAAUGAUGUUAAGAUUAGGUUAAUUAGAUCGAUAAAAACGAUGAAUUUUGGCAUGCACUCCUGGUUUUGAUGUAGACUAAUUUUGGAUAUUCCGAGUACAAAGAAAUUAUACUGUAUAAUAGUUAUUAGUUAGAGUCUGUUCUUGGAAUAUUUUUACUCAACGCUAAAGUCCUAUAUUUUAGCCUGGACCGCCAUGGAUCCUGUAAAGUCAUAUGCAUCAGUACGUUUUCUUCUAAGCCUGUGCUUUCUGGAAGCAGUUAUAGGCCAUCAAUGCAUGCUCAAAGUACUGAGAUAUAUUUACAGUGACCCUGGCUAAUCGAUAAUUCUACUAAAUUAUUUGUUCAUCUUUUCAUGAAUUUAAUUCAAGAAAGCUGAACAGAGCAAUGGCAGCCAAUGGAUUGUUUGCCUCCAGUGGCAAGCAUGGAGGAAAGGAAAGCCGCAUCAAGAGAAUGCCACAUGGGAAGCCUCCGUUCACUCUUGGCAAAAUCAAGAAGGCCAUCCCGCCCCAUUGCUUCGAACGAUCCCUUCUCCGCUCAUUCUCCUAUGUGGUUUAUGAUCUGUGCAUAAGCUUUCUCCUCUGCUACAUUGCCACCACAUACUUCGACCUCCUGCCAUCCCCGCUCUCCUGUGUCGCGUGGCCCACGUACUGGAUUCUCAAGGCAGCAUUCUCACCGGUGUUUGGGUUAUUUCUCAUGAAUGUGGUCACCAUGCCUUCAGUGACUACCGGUGGGUUGAUGACACAGUUGGCUUAAUCCUCCAUUCUGCACUUUUAGUCCCUUACUUUUCCUGGAAAUACAGCCACCGCCGCCAUCACUCAAACACAGGGUCCCUUGAGCGAGACGAAGUGUUCGUUCCAAAGCCUAAGUCUCGAAUCGCAUGGUAUUCCAAGUACCUAAACAACCCACCAGGUCGAGCUUUAAGUCUUGUUGUCACACUUCUGCUAGGCUGGCCCUUAUACCUAGCCUUCAACGUUUCAGGUCGACCCUAUGAUCGCUUUGCCUGUCACUAUGAUCCCUAUGGCCCCAUAUAUUCUGAUCGUGAAAGGCUUCAGAUUUACAUUUCUGAUCUUGGCAUUUUUGCGCAACUUUUGUGCUCUACAGCAUCGCUGUGUCUCGAGGGCUGCAUUUCUGAUAUGCAUUUAUGGGGUACCGUUACUUAUUGCUAAUGGUUUACUUGUCACCAUCACAUACUUGCAGCACACUCACCCUGCAUUGCCACAUUAUGAUUCCUCUGAAUGGGAGUGGCUUAGAGGAGCUUUGGCAACCAUGGAUAGAGACUAUGGGAUCCUGAACAAGGUCUUCCAUAACAUUACAGACACGCAUGUAGCUCACCAUCUCUUCUCUAACAUGCCACAUUAUCAUGCAAUGGAGGCUACGAAAGCAAUCAAGCCAAUACUGGGUGAGUUCUACCAGUUUGAUGACACUCCGAUUUACAAGGCCUUAUGGAGGGAGACAAAAGAAUGCCUGUAUGUUGAUCCAGACGACGGAGCUCCUGAAAAAGGCGUGUUCUGGUACCGGAACAAGUUUUGAUCCUGCUGCCUGCAAAAUCAUGCUAGCUAGAUGCAAGGGUAGGGUUCAAUAGUGUAGCGUGUUGCUAAUAAAUGGGGGAGAAGGUGUUGUUGAGCUAAAAAUGUAAUGGACUUGUAAUGAAACUCAUCAACUUAUGAAUUCUUAUGAAAAAAAAAAAAAAAUCAACUUAUGAAUACUUCUCUUCUUAGCUACUAUCAGCUUUUGUUUUUAGACUAGACAAGCGACGAUGACCAAAUUUUUGUGUGGUGUUUCCUCUGUCAAGUUUGUCUAUAAAACCUUGCAAGAAAUUAAAUAAACACAGACGAGCACAGAAAAAUAAGAGAGAGAUAAGAAACAAUAUUCAUGUAAAGGAUAAGAUAAACCCCUCGACGAAGGGAUAAAUCUCCCUCAAAAUUAUUCAUUAAUUUCCUUCAUCAUACUCUUCAACAUCAGUACAAAUCCUCGAGGAACCAGCACCUGUUAUAAUGACUCAUCUGAGCCAUCUUUUGAACCUGGAGAUAAGCCUCAAAUCCGAGGCAAAACUUGACUAAAAAAAGCGGCAUUCCGCAUUAAUUAAUGCUCCAAUUUUCCUGUUUCCAUUUAUGCUUAUGGUUAUGACACAUUUUAAACCCCUUUUAUUUUAAUGAAUUCCUAAAAUUCUCAAAACUCAAUAAUAUUUGGCAUUCAUAUGAUUUUUCUGAAACUAUAAGGUGGCAGAGUCGAAGGAAACUGGAGGACCUGCACAAUCGCCCCUGAAAAAAAUAUUUUUCUUGAGAGUACAUGAAGUAUGUGUAAUGACUGCAUCUCUAUCUUCAUAAAAUUUGUCUCCGAUCGAAAUAUGUGUUGAAAAAAGUAUCUUGAUAUUUACAAUCUUGCAAAUAAGUUUUAUCCCAAGAAUUCUAUAUCAAGAUAAUUUCUUUUGAGAUCUUGAUAAAAUUAUUUUGGAUUUGUUAUUGUUUUUUAGAAUAUUAUGAAUUGAGAAAAGUAUCAAUGCUAGAAUAAUUAGCAAACUAUCUGUACUCUUGUUGAAAAAAUAAAUUGCUUAUAAAAAUUUAAUUCUGAUUCCUUAAGCUAAAUUUCUGAAUCGGUCACCAUACCCUCCCUUUCGGAACCAUAUUGUCGUAGUUGUGUGGUGAGAGGGCAAGCCUUGCAUUUGUUGUUAGCCUUGACAAUUUGCCAAAUGUGUCAUCAAGCAUGCAUUAGUGUCCAUAACAUUUCACUGAAAAACAAAUCAAACUAACCAGACCAGUAAAAUCUAACCCUUAAUUUCUUUAUUAAUAAAAAAUAUUUUUUGAAAAAGCCAAUAGGUUGAAGCAUGGUUUUGAUCACCAUGUUAGCUUCGAGUCAAGGUGUUAACUUGAGUAUUUUAUUAGAUUAAUCAAUAUUUUUUAUUUUAUUUUUUAAACUUGAUUUGAGUCUCCUAUAUCCUGUUUAAAUUUUACAAUAUGAUUAUACGCUCUGUAUUUCAUUAAUUACCUUUUAACUUCACCUACAUUUCUUAAUUAACCGACGUUGCAAUUUAUGGAGGUAGAAGAUUAUUAUUUAGGUGGUUGAAAUAUUAAUGAUCAUGUCUAUAUUUCUUUUUCUGAUGUUUAGGUUAGGUUAACCAGAUCGAUCGAAACUUUGGCAUGUACUAUUGGUUUUGAUGUCCGACUAAUUUUAGGUAUGCUGUGGACAUCGCAUUUAUAUCAUUAUUUAAUAGCUAAUAAUUACAGUGUAUUCUUGGAACAAUUUUACUCAAGUUUCAACAAAUUUUGUUAAACCCAUACACGCGAUAUGACAAUGAAAUGUAAAGAAAUGAAAUCUAGUACGUGAUUUAGGAAUUUAAAAUUAAAAGAUUUAAUUUUAGGUUUGAGUUUUGUGGUUGUUAAUAUAAUAACCAUUAGAAAUUUACAUGAUCGUUAGCUUCAAGACUGGUAAAAUUAGUUGAAGUACAAACAAGCUAAUUCGAACAUUUAUAUUAAUAAAAAAAAUAUUUAAAACUGCAUUAUAAAAAUCAUAGAUAUCACACUCUUAUCCAGAAAAAAACAUUUGGAUUGUUAAAUUAUUUUUACUUGUUGGUUGGUAAACUGAGAUAUUUUUUUUUAUCAAAAAUAUUUUUUUUAAAAUUUUUUAGUGUUAAGUCUAUAGGGUUUGUUCAAAUUAAUUGAAUUAUAGAUUAACCCAAUUUAUUUUAAAUUUUAAAUUGUAGAUUCCCGAAUCAACCAUUUUGACUAUGCUAGAUUUAUUAACUAUCAUAAAUACUAUCCACUCGAUGCAUAUUUUUAUUAAAAAUUAAUUGUGAAAGUUUUACAUUAAAAUAGUCUGAAAAAUUAAAAAAUUAAUUAAAAAUAAAAUAAAAUAUUUUUAAAAAUAAAAAAAAUAAUUAAUUUCUUCCCGCAUACUUCAGCCAUUUUCACGGUCCUACAACAUUUAUUUUUUCCUUUUCUUCUAAGCCUAUGCUUUCUCAGGCAGGUACGUAAUUGCCAUUGAUACACAUACAUGCUGUGAAAUCAGAUUAUAAGAAUAUGAUAUCUGCUAAAUCAUGAUAUUCAAGGAAAGCUGAGGACGACAAUGGGAGGCAAUGGAGUGCAUGAUCAAGGAAAGGAAAGCAGCUUCAAGAGAAUGCCAAACACGGAGCCUCCAUUUACACUUGGAAAAAUCAAGAAGGCCAUCCCUCCCCAUUGCUUCCAACGAUCCCUUCUCCGCUCAUUGUCCUAUGUUGUUUAUGACCUCUCCUUCAGCUUUCUCUUCUGCUACAUUGCCAUCACAUAUUUCCACCUCCUACCAUCCCCUCUUGCCUCCAUCACAUGGCCCAUCUACUGGCUUCUCCAAGGCUGCAUUCUCACCGGUGUUUGGGUCAUUGCUCAUGAAUGUGGCCACCACGCCUUCAGUGACUACCGGUGGGUUGAUGACACGGUUGGCCUAAUCCUCCACUCUGCACUUUUCAUCCCAUACUUUUCCUGGAAAUACAGCCACCGCCGCCACCAUUCGAACACAGGGUCCCUCGAGCGCGACGAAGUGUUUGUCCCGAAGACCAAGUCCCGUGUCGCAUGGUAUUCCAAGCACCUAAACAACCCACCAGGUCGAGCUUUAAGUCUGGCUGUAUCACUUCUGAUUGGCUGGCCCUUAUAUCUAACCUUCAACGUUUCCGGUCGACCCUAUGAUC
This 19430-nucleotide long non-coding RNA is filed under the name Populus tremula. RNAcentral's name for it is "long non-coding RNA (PTRE_LNC000012)". Lineage: Eukaryota; Viridiplantae; Streptophyta; Magnoliopsida; Malpighiales; Salicaceae. The record is from RNAcentral.